UACGUAGGGCGCAAGCGUUAUCCGGAUUUAUUGGGCGUAAAGAGCUCGUAGGCGGUUUGUCGCGUCUGCCGUGAAAAUCCAGGGCUCAACCCUGGACGUGCGGUGGGUACGGGCUGGCUAGAGUGUGGUAGGGGAGACUGGAACUCCUGGUGUAGCGGUGAAAUGCGCAGAUAUCAGGAAGAACACCGAUGGCGAAGGCAGGUCUCUGGGCCAUUACUGACACUGAGAAGCGAAAGCAUGGGGAGCGAACAGG
This 253-nucleotide ribosomal RNA is filed under the name uncultured bacterium. Its description in RNAcentral is "partial 16S ribosomal RNA". It matches the Rfam family "Bacterial small subunit ribosomal RNA", at positions 524 to 776 of the family's 1533-position model. The record is from RNAcentral.